UGAGCUAUGGUGUAAUUGGCAGCACGAGAGUUUCUGGUACUUUUAGUCUAGGUUCGAAUCCUGGUAGCUCAG
This 72-nucleotide transfer RNA is filed under the name Candidatus Opitulatrix roisinitermitis. RNAcentral describes it as "tRNA-Gln". It matches the Rfam family "tRNA". From Rfam's summary of the family: Transfer RNA (tRNA) molecules are approximately 80 nucleotides in length. The record is from RNAcentral. Lineage: Bacteria; Bacillati; Actinomycetota; Actinomycetes; Bifidobacteriales; Bifidobacteriaceae.